This 253-nucleotide ribosomal RNA is filed under the name uncultured bacterium. RNAcentral describes it as "partial 16S ribosomal RNA". It matches the Rfam family "Bacterial small subunit ribosomal RNA", at positions 524 to 776 of the family's 1533-position model. The record is from RNAcentral.
GACGUAGGAGGCGAGCGUUAUCCGGAUUCACUGGGCGUAAAGCGCAUGUAGGCGGUUGGACAAGUCGUGUGUUAAAGCCCCUGGCUCAACUGGGGGAGGUCAUGCGAGACUGUGCGACUUGAGGGCAAGAGAGGCACGUGGAACUCCCGGUGUAGCGGUGGAAUGCGUAGAGAUCGGGAAGAACACCAGUGGCGAAGGCGACGUGCUGGGUUGCACCUGACGCUGAGAGACGAAAGCUAGGGGAGCGAAUGGG